GGUUAAGCGACUAAGCGUACACGGUGGAUGCCCUGGCAGUCAGAGGCGAUGAAGGACGUGCUAAUCUGCGAUAAGCGUCGGUAAGGUGAUAUGAACCGUUAUAACCGGCGAUUUCCGAAUGGGGAAACCCAGUGUGAUUCGUCACACUAUCAUUAACUGAAUCCAUAGGUUAAUGAGGCGAACCGGGGGAACUGAAACAUCUAAGUACCCCGAGGAAAAGAAAUCAACCGAGAUUCCCCCAGUAGCGGCGAGCGAACGGGGAGCAGCCCAGAGCCUGAAUCAGUGUGUGUGUUAGUGGAAGCGUCUGGAAAGGCGCGCGAUACAGGGUGACAGCCCCGUACACAAAAAUGCACAUGCUGUGAGCUCGAUGAGUAGGGCGGGACACGUGGUAUCCUGUCUGAAUAUGGGGGGACCAUCCUCCAAGGCUAAAUACUCCUGACUGACCGAUAGUGAACCAGUACCGUGAGGGAAAGGCGAAAAGAACCCCGGCGAGGGGAGUGAAAAAGAACCUGAAACCGUGUACGUACAAGCAGUGGGAGCACGCUUAGGCGUGUGACUGCGUACCUUUUGUAUAAUGGGUCAGCGACUUAUAUUCUGUAGCAAGGUUAACCGAAUAGGGGAGCCGAAGGGAAACCGAGUCUUAACUGGGCGUUAAGUUGCAGGGUAUAGACCCGAAACCCGGUGAUCUAG
This 690-nucleotide ribosomal RNA is filed under the name Escherichia coli. Its description in RNAcentral is "partial 23S ribosomal RNA". It matches the Rfam family "Bacterial large subunit ribosomal RNA", at positions 1 to 733 of the family's 2925-position model. The record is from RNAcentral. Lineage: Bacteria; Pseudomonadati; Pseudomonadota; Gammaproteobacteria; Enterobacterales; Enterobacteriaceae.